This 245-nucleotide ribosomal RNA is filed under the name uncultured bacterium. Its description in RNAcentral is "partial small subunit ribosomal RNA". It matches the Rfam family "Bacterial small subunit ribosomal RNA", at positions 26 to 285 of the family's 1533-position model. The record is from RNAcentral.
AGAAUCAACGCUGGCGGCGUGCCUAACACAUGCAAGUCGCACGAGAAAAGGACUUCGGUCCUGAGUACAGUGGCGCACGGGUGAGUAACACGUGAAUCAUCUACCUUCGAGUGGGGAAUAACUGAGAGAAAUCUUAGCUAAUACCGCAUAAUACCCACGGGUCAAAGCAGCAAUGCGCUUGAAGAGGAGUUCGCGGCAGAUUAGUUAGUUGGCGGGGUAAUGGCCCACCAAGACUGUGAUCGGUA